UUUAAACUGAAGAGUUUGAUCAUGGCUCAGAUUGAACGCUGGCGGCAGGCUUAACACAUGCAAGUCGAGCGGAAACGAUGAUAGCUUGCUAUCAGGCGUCGAGCGGCGGACGGGUGAGUAACGCGUAGGAAACUACCCAGUAGUGGGGGACAACAGUUGGAAACGACUGCUAAUACCGCAUACGCUCUACGGAGGAAAGGGGGCUUCGGCUCUCGCUAUUGGAUGUGCCUGCGUGAGAUUAGCUAGUUGGUGGGGUAAAGGCCUACCAAGGCAWCGAUCWSUAGCUGGUCUGAGAGGAUGAUCAGCCACACUGGGACUGAGACACGGCCCAGACUCCUACGGGAGGCAGCAGUGRGGAAUAUUGSRCAAUGGGCGAAAGCCUGACGCAGCAACGCCGCGUGAGCGAUGAAGCCUUUCGGGGUGUAAAGCUCUGUCAAGAGGGAUGAUUAUGACGGUACCUCUGAAGGAAGUCACGGCUAAUUACGUGCCAGCAGCCGCGGUAAUACGUAAGUGGCUAGCGUUAUCCGGAUUUAUUGGGCAUAAAGAGCACGUAGGCGGUUAAUCAAGUCAGAUGUGAAAUUCUACAGCUCAACUGUAGGCAGCAUUUGAAACUGGUUAACUAGAGAUUAAGAGAGGAAAGUGGAACUCACAGUGUAGCGGUGAAAUGCGUAGAUAUUGUGGGGAACACCAGUGGCGAAGGCGGCUUUCUGGCUUAAUUCUGACGCUGAGGUGCGAAAGCGUGGGGAGCGAACGGGAUUAGAUACCCCGGUAGUCCACGCCGUAAACGUUGUUCACUAGGCGUAGGAAGCAUCGACCCUUUCUGUGCCACAGAUAAUUCGUUAAGUGAACCGCCUGGGAAGUACGACCGCAAGGUU
Molecule: ribosomal RNA, 875 nt
Filed under: Oceanobacter sp.
Lineage: Bacteria; Pseudomonadati; Pseudomonadota; Gammaproteobacteria; Oceanospirillales; Oceanospirillaceae
Description: bacterial SSU rRNA
Rfam family: Bacterial small subunit ribosomal RNA
Source: RNAcentral